Molecule: ribosomal RNA, 330 nt
Filed under: uncultured bacterium
Lineage: Bacteria
Description: bacterial SSU rRNA
Rfam family: Bacterial small subunit ribosomal RNA
Source: RNAcentral
CGCGUAGGUGGUAGUGAAAGUCUAUGGUGGAAUCUUAGGGCUUAACCCUAAAACUGCCUUGGAAACUUCAUUACUUGAGUCAGUGAGAGGAGGGUAGAAUUCCUGGUGUAGCGGUGAAAUGCGUAGAUAUCAGGAGGAAGGCCGGUGGCGAAGGCGGCCCUCUGGCGCUGAACUGACGCUGAGGCGCGAAAGCGUGGGUAGCAAACAGGAUUAGAUACCCUGGUAGUCCACGCCCUAAACGGUGGGUACUAGGUGUAGGGCUCGUAAGGGUUCUGUGCCGAAGGGAAAUCAUUAAGUACCCCGCCUGGGGAGUACGGCCGCAAGGUUGAA